This 492-nucleotide ribosomal RNA is filed under the name uncultured bacterium. RNAcentral describes it as "partial 16S ribosomal RNA". It matches the Rfam family "Bacterial small subunit ribosomal RNA", at positions 29 to 507 of the family's 1533-position model. The record is from RNAcentral.
AGUGAACGCUGGCGGUAGGCCUAGCACAUGCAAGUCGAACGGCGGCACAGUAAGAGCUUGCUCUUACGGGUGGCGAGUGGCGGGCGGGUGAGGAAUACAUCGGAAUCUACUUUUUCGUGGGGGAUAACGUAGGGAAACUUACGCUAAUACCGCAUACGACCUACGGGUGAAAGCAGGGGAUCUUCGGACCUUGCGCGAUUGAAUGAGCCGAUGUCGGAUUAGCUAGUUGGCGGGGUAAAGGCCCACCAAGGCGACGAUCCGUAGCUGGUCUGAGAGGAUGAUCAGCCACACUGGAACUGAGACACGGUCCAGACUCCUACGGGAGGCAGCAGUGGGGAAUAUUGGACAAUGGGCGCAAGCCUGAUCCAGCCAUACCGCGUGGGUGAAGAAGGCCUUCGGGUUGUAAAGCCCUUUUGUUGGGAAAGAAAAGCAGCAGGUUAAUACCCCGCUGUUCUGACGGUACCCAAAGAAUAAGCACCGGCUAACUUCGUG